Molecule: ribosomal RNA, 427 nt
Filed under: uncultured bacterium
Lineage: Bacteria
Description: partial 16S ribosomal RNA
Rfam family: Bacterial small subunit ribosomal RNA
Source: RNAcentral
UGGGGAAUAUUGGACAAUGGGCGAAAGCCUGAUCCAGCCAUGCCGCGUGUGUGAAGAAGGUCUUCGGAUUGUAAAGCACUUUAAGUUGGGAGGAAGGGCAUUAACCUAAUACGUUAGUGUUUUGACGUUACCGACAGAAUAAGCACCGGCUAACUCUGUGCCAGCAGCCGCGGUAAUACAGAGGGUGCAAGCGUUAAUCGGAAUUACUGGGCGUAAAGCGCGCGUAGUUGGUUUGUUAAGUUGGAUGUGAAAUCCCCGGGCUCAACCUGGGAACUGCAUUCAAAACUGACUGACUAGAGUAUGGUAGAGGGUGGUGGAAUUUCCUGUGUAGCGGUGAAAUGCGUAGAUAUAGGAAGGAACACCAGUGGCGAAGGCGACCACCUGGACUAAUACUGACACUGAGGUGCGAAAGCGUGGGGAGCAAACA